RNAcentral lists this ribosomal RNA (465 nucleotides) under Vreelandella stevensii. RNAcentral's name for it is "partial 16S ribosomal RNA". It matches the Rfam family "Bacterial small subunit ribosomal RNA", at positions 338 to 795 of the family's 1533-position model. The record is from RNAcentral. Lineage: Bacteria; Pseudomonadati; Pseudomonadota; Gammaproteobacteria; Oceanospirillales; Halomonadaceae.
CCUACGGGUGGCUUCAGUGGGGAAUAUUGGACAAUGGGCGAAAGCCUGAUCCAGCCAUGCCGCGUGUGUGAAGAAGGCCUUCGGGUUGUAAAGCACUUUCAGUGGGGAAGAAAGCCUUGGGGCUAAUACCCUCGAGGAAGGACAUCACCCACAGAAGAAGCACCGGCUAACUCCGUGCCAGCAGCCGCGGUAAUACGGAGGGUGCGAGCGUUAAUCGGAAUUACUGGGCGUAAAGCGCGCGUAGGCGGUCUGAUAAGCCGGUUGUGAAAGCCCCGGGCUCAACCUGGGAACGGCAUCCGGAACUGUCAGGCUAGAGUGCAGGAGAGGAAGGUAGAAUUCCCGGUGUAGCAGUGAAAUGCGUAGAGAUCGGGAGGAAUACCAGUGGCGAAGGCGGCCUUCUGGACUGACACUGACGCUGAGGUGCGAAAGCGUGGGUAGCAAACAGGAUUAGAUACCCCAGUAGUC